RNAcentral lists this ribosomal RNA (253 nucleotides) under uncultured Rikenellaceae bacterium. RNAcentral describes it as "partial 16S ribosomal RNA". It matches the Rfam family "Bacterial small subunit ribosomal RNA", at positions 524 to 776 of the family's 1533-position model. The record is from RNAcentral. Lineage: Bacteria; Pseudomonadati; Bacteroidota; Bacteroidia; Bacteroidales; Rikenellaceae.
UACGGAGGAUGCGAGCGUUAUCCGGAUUUAUUGGGUUUAAAGGGUGCGUAGGCGGUCGGAUAAGUUAGAGGUGAAAUCCCGAGGCUCAACUUCGGAAUUGCCUCUGAUACUGCUCGGCUAGAGAGUAGUUGCGGUAGGCGGAAUGUAUGGUGUAGCGGUGAAAUGCAUAGAUAUAACUUAGAACACCGAUAGCGAAGGCAGCUUACCAGACUGAGUCUGACGCUGAUGCACGAGAGCAUGGGUAGCGAACAGG